This 253-nucleotide ribosomal RNA is filed under the name uncultured bacterium. RNAcentral describes it as "partial 16S ribosomal RNA". It matches the Rfam family "Bacterial small subunit ribosomal RNA", at positions 524 to 776 of the family's 1533-position model. The record is from RNAcentral.
UACAGAGGUCUCAAGCGUUGUUCGGAAUCACUGGGCGUAAAGCGUGCGUAGGCUGUUUCGUAAGUCGUGUGUGAAAGGCGCGGGCUCAACCCGCGGACGGCACAUGAUACUGCGAGACUAGAGUAAUGGAGGGGGAACCGGAGUUCUCGGUGUAGCAGUGAAAUGCGUAGAUAUCGAGAGGAACACUCGUGGCGAAGGCGGGUUCCUGGACAUUAACUGACGCUGAGGCACGAAGGCCAGGGGAGCGAAAGGG